This 903-nucleotide long non-coding RNA is filed under the name Gossypium barbadense (sea-island cotton). Its description in RNAcentral is "long non-coding RNA (GBAR_LNC007510)". The record is from RNAcentral. Lineage: Eukaryota; Viridiplantae; Streptophyta; Magnoliopsida; Malvales; Malvaceae.
UUAUCCAAAUUGACUUCAUUACGUAAGAUUUUAGCUUAUAUAGCAACUCAAUUUAAAGUAAUUACAUUAUUUACUUUAAUAAAAUUUAAAUCAUAGUAAAAAUGGAUCAAUAUAAAUUUAUCAUCUCUCUGGGCAAAACACGAAUUGUAUUCUUCUUUGAUGGCAAAUUCUGGUCAUUCUCUUCACAUCUGGUGGCGGGAUCGGUAGUAGAGUACAGAUGACGAAUAAGCCUAUGUUGUCAUUCAAGAACACUCUAAUGGGGGAAUAAUGACUCAAUCCAUUUAGAUGAAGAAAGCUUUGAGGAGGAUGAUUUUGAUCUUCAAGAGGGUGAUAUUAUUUCAAAAACAAUUGACGGAGUCCGGGCGAUUCAGUACUCUCCUCGUGUUUACCAACUUGUCUCUCAAAGUAUGGAUAAAACUGUGGUGAGUAAAUCUUCAUCAUGAUGGAUCUUCUUCUUCACAGUCGUCAGAAUCAAAUACAGUUAAAUAGAGGCAAGUUCGGUGUGGGUUAAAAGGGAAAGGCAUUCAGAUUGGGUGUGACGGUACUAUUAAAAAACUAGUGUCGGUGGAAGACUUCGUUAAUGCUUUGGUGGAGAAUAUUACUGCACAGGCGAAAAAGGGUGAUGAUCUAAUGGAUGAUGAGAUUGAUUAUGCCAAAGAGAGAGAUCAGGAGUUGGAGAAUGAUGUUGCUGAAUAAGCAAAAAACAUGUGUUGUUUCUAAUUUUUAUCAUUUUAUUUAUGUCAUUAAAUUUUUUUCAUAGAAUUGUCAAGGAUGUAGACAUCCCCGUUUUGAUAGAAUUAUGAAAGAAAAUAUGAGAGUACACAAAUCGGAUAUUGUGGCUUUGACUGAAACGAAAUUAAGUGGGAAUAAAGCUAAUUGGAUAAUUGAGAAAACACAAUUCCC